GAAAUGCGAUACGUAAUGUGAAUUGCAGUAAUCAGUGAAUCAUCGAAUCUUUGAACGCAAAUUGCGCUUUGGGGUAUUCCCCAGAGCAUGCCUGGUUGAGUAUCAUUUAACACAAAUCAUCUAUUUAUAGAUGGAUAUGGGGCGUCUUGGUUGCAAAGCCAAGUCCCCUUAAAUAUAGAGAUGUGCAACUGGCUACAUUGCUAUUUGUGCAGAUUGGUGUGGUAAUUGUUUUCAUUAACAUUUUCAUAUCGCCAUUUCUGUCAUAAAAAGUGUUACCAAUCUCACAUCUAACAAAUCAAAAACCGAAGAGAGAGGCAAAAGAUAAAUGAUUAAUUUAUUUAUUCUUUGAACUUUUUUCGAACUUUGAUCUCAACUCAGGUAAGACUACCCGCUGAAUUUA
RNAcentral lists this unclassified non-coding RNA (400 nucleotides) under uncultured fungus. RNAcentral describes it as "sequence contains ITS1". The stretch from base 1 to 105 matches the Rfam family "5.8S ribosomal RNA", at positions 50 to 154 of the family's 154-position model. The record is from RNAcentral. Lineage: Eukaryota; Fungi.